AUUGAACGCUGGCGGCAGGCUUAACACAUGCAAGUCGAGCGAGCGGCGGACGGGUGAGUCAUGUCUGGGAAACUGCCUGAUGGAGGGGGAUAACUACUGGAAACGGUAGCUAAUACCGCAUACCAUCAGAUGUGCCCAGAUGGGAUAAGCUAGUAGGGGGGGUAAUGGCUCCCCUAGGCGACGAUCCCUAGCUGGUCUGAGAGGAUGACACGCGACACUGUAACUGAGCCACUGUCCAGACUCCUACGGGAUUCAGCAGUGGCGAAUAUUGCUCAAUGGCCGCAAGCCUUAUGCAGCCAUGCCGCUGGUGUGAAGCAGGCCUUCUGGUUGUAAAGCACUUUCAGCGGGGAGGCGUUACCCGCAGAAGAAGCACCGGCUAACUCCGUGCCAGCAGCCGCGGUAAUUC
This 406-nucleotide ribosomal RNA is filed under the name uncultured bacterium. Its description in RNAcentral is "partial 16S ribosomal RNA". It matches the Rfam family "Bacterial small subunit ribosomal RNA", at positions 30 to 526 of the family's 1533-position model. The record is from RNAcentral.